Molecule: ribosomal RNA, 2813 nt
Filed under: Escherichia coli
Lineage: Bacteria; Pseudomonadati; Pseudomonadota; Gammaproteobacteria; Enterobacterales; Enterobacteriaceae
Description: partial 23S ribosomal RNA
Rfam family: Bacterial large subunit ribosomal RNA
Source: RNAcentral
ACCGGCGAUUUCCGAAUGGGGAAACCCAGUGUGUUUCGACACACUAUCAUUAACUGAAUCCAUAGGUUAAUGAGGCGAACCGGGGGAACUGAAACAUCUAAGUACCCCGAGGAAAAGAAAUCAACCGAGAUUCCCCCAGUAGCGGCGAGCGAACGGGGAGGAGCCCAGAGCCUGAAUCAGUGUGUGUGUUAGUGGAAGCGUCUGGAAAGGCGCGCGAUACAGGGUGACAGCCCCGUACACAAAAAUGCACAUGCUGUGAGCUCGAUGAGUAGGGCGGGACACGUGGUAUCCUGUCUGAAUAUGGGGGGACCAUCCUCCAAGGCUAAAUACUCCUGACUGACCGAUAGUGAACCAGUACCGUGAGGGAAAGGCGAAAAGAACCCCGGCGAGGGGAGUGAAAAAGAACCUGAAACCGUGUACGUACAAGCAGUGGGAGCCUCUUAAUGGGGUGACUGCGUACCUUUUGUAUAAUGGGUCAGCGACUUAUAUUCUGUAGCAAGGUUAACCGAAUAGGGGAGCCGAAGGGAAACCGAGUCUUAACUGGGCGUUAAGUUGCAGGGUAUAGACCCGAAACCCGGUGAUCUAGCCAUGGGCAGGUUGAAGGUUGGGUAACACUAACUGGAGGACCGAACCGACUAAUGUUGAAAAAUUAGCGGAUGACUUGUGGCUGGGGGUGAAAGGCCAAUCAAACCGGGAGAUAGCUGGUUCUCCCCGAAAGCUAUUUAGGUAGCGCCUCGUGAAUUCAUCUCCGGGGGUAGAGCACUGUUUCGGCAAGGGGGUCAUCCCGACUUACCAACCCGAUGCAAACUGCGAAUACCGGAGAAUGUUAUCACGGGAGACACACGGCGGGUGCUAACGUCCGUCGUGAAGAGGGAAACAACCCAGACCGCCAGCUAAGGUCCCAAAGUCAUGGUUAAGUGGGAAACGAUGUGGGAAGGCCCAGACAGCCAGGAUGUUGGCUUAGAAGCAGCCAUCAUUUAAAGAAAGCGUAAUAGCUCACUGGUCGAGUCGGCCUGCGCGGAAGAUGUAACGGGGCUAAACCAUGCACCGAAGCUGCGGCAGCGACACUAUGUGUUGUUGGGUAGGGGAGCGUUCUGUAAGCCUGUGAAGGUGGCCUGUGAGGGUUGCUGGAGGUAUCAGAAGUGCGAAUGCUGACAUAAGUAACGAUAAAGCGGGUGAAAAGCCCGCUCGCCGGAAGACCAAGGGUUCCUGUCCAACGUUAAUCGGGGCAGGGUGAGUCGACCCCUAAGGCGAGGCCGAAAGGCGUAGUCGAUGGGAAACAGGUUAAUAUUCCUGUACUUGGUGUUACUGCGAAGGGGGGACGGAGAAGGCUAUGUUGGCCGGGCGACGGUUGUCCCGGUUUAAGCGUGUAGGCUGGUUUUCCAGGCAAAUCCGGAAAACCAAGGCUGAGGCGUGAUGACGAGGCACUACGGUGCUGAAGUGACAAAUGCCCUGCUUCCAGGAAAAGCCUCUAAGCAUCAGGUAACAUCAAAUCGUACCCCAAACCGACACAGGUGGUCAGGUAGAGAAUACCAAGGCGCUUGAGAGAACUCGGGUGAAGGAACUAGGCAAAAUGGUGCCGUAACUUCGGGAGAAGGCACGCUGAUAUGUAGGUGAAGCGACUUGCUCGUGGAGCUGAAAUCAGUCGAAGAUACCAGCUGGCUGCAACUGUUUAUUAAAAACACAGCACUGUGCAAACACGAAAGUGGACGUAUACGGUGUGACGCCUGCCCGGUGCCGGAAGGUUAAUUGAUGGGGUUAGCGGUAACGCGAAGCUCUUGAUCGAAGCCCCGGUAAACGGCGGCCGUAACUAUAACGGUCCUAAGGUAGCGAAAUUCCUUGUCGGGUAAGUUCCGACCUGCACGAAUGGCGUAAUGAUGGCCAGGCUGUCUCCACCCGAGACUCAGUGAAAUUGAACUCGCUGUGAAGAUGCAGUGUACCCGCGGCAAGACGGAAAGACCCCGUGAACCUUUACUAUAGCUUGACACUGAACAUUGAGCCUUGAUGUGUAGGAUAGGUGGGAGGCUUUGAAGUGUGGACGCCAGUCUGCAUGGAGCCGACCUUGAAAUACCACCCUUUAAUGUUUGAUGUUCUAACGUUGGCCCCUAAUCGGGGUUGCGGACAGUGUCUGGUGGGUAGUUUGACUGGGGCGGUCUCCUCCUAAAGAGUAACGGAGGAGCACGAAGGUUGGCUAAUCCUGGUCGGACAUCAGGAGGUUAGUGCAAUGGCAUAAGCCAGCUUGACUGCGAGCGUGACGGCGCGAGCAGGUGCGAAAGCAGGUCAUAGUGAUCCGGUGGUUCUGAAUGGAAGGGCCAUCGCUCAACGGAUAAAAGGUACUCCGGGGAUAACAGGCUGAUACCGCCCAAGAGUUCAUAUCGACGGCGGUGUUUGGCACCUCGAUGUCGGCUCAUCACAUCCUGGGGCUGAAGUAGGUCCCAAGGGUAUGGCUGUUCGCCAUUUAAAGUGGUACGCGAGCUGGGUUUAGAACGUCGUGAGACAGUUCGGUCCCUAUCUGCCGUGGGCGCUGGAGAACUGAGGGGGGCUGCUCCUAGUACGAGAGGACCGGAGUGGACGCAUCACUGGUGUUCGGGUUGUCAUGCCAAUGGCACUGCCCGGUAGCUAAAUGCGGAAGAGAUAAGUGCUGAAAGCAUCUAAGCACGAAACUUGCCCCGAGAUGAGUUCUCCCUGAGACUUAGAGUCUCCUGAAGGAACGUUGAAGACGACGACGUUGAUAGGCCGGGUGUGUAAGCGCAGCGAUGCGUUGAGCUAACCGGUACUAAUGAACCGUGAGGCUUAACCUUACAACGCCGAAG